CCCCGAACGGUGACGUCAUUAUCAGUGUCCGUGGGGCUGACACGUGUUGAGUGCACACGAGUCUGUCUUUAUCUCCGAGGUCAUCGGAGGACCCCACCAUCCCAAACCAGACUGCACACCCUGUCCAGCUUUUGUGGACUCGGCAACGGGACCCAAGGGGUAUUUCUGGAGACCUUCCCAAAGGAGCCAUCCAGCCAGGUGGAAGCCCAGGCCCCCACAGCCCAUCUGCUGCCGACCUCCUUUGAGAACUUAGC
Molecule: long non-coding RNA, 254 nt
Organism: Bos taurus (domestic cattle)
Lineage: Eukaryota; Metazoa; Chordata; Mammalia; Artiodactyla; Bovidae
Source: Ensembl